Molecule: small RNA, 165 nt
Filed under: Gopherus agassizii (Agassiz's desert tortoise)
Lineage: Eukaryota; Metazoa; Chordata; Testudines; Testudinidae
Description: TUC338 (ENSGAGG00000012759.1)
Source: RNAcentral
CUGACAGUACUGGAGCCUGAAGUCUGAUUAUCCACAGACCAGGCAGCAGCCAUGUCCUUUAUUCUACACUGCCCUGCCAAUGUGCUUCAGCUUUGACCUGGAGGGAUCACCUCUAGGAACUAAGUGAGUAAUUCAGUCUCUCUGUCCAGUCAGAUCAUGGCUCUC